Molecule: ribosomal RNA, 480 nt
Filed under: uncultured bacterium
Lineage: Bacteria
Description: partial 16S ribosomal RNA
Rfam family: Bacterial small subunit ribosomal RNA
Source: RNAcentral
GAUGAACGCUAGCGGCAGGCCUAACACAUGCAAGUCGAGGGAGAGGUUACCUUCGGGUAACCAAAACCGGCGCACAGGUGCGUAACGCGUAUACAAUCUGCCUUUCACAUAGGGAUAGCCCGAAGAAAUUUGGAUUAAUACCUAAUGGUAUAUAAGAGCGGCAUCGUUUUUAUAUUAAAGCUACGGUGGUGAAAGAUGAGUAUGCGUUCUAUUAGCUAGUUGGAGAGGUAACGGCUCCCCAAGGCGACGAUAGAUAGGGGUUCUGAGAGGGAUGUCCCCCACACUGGUACUGAGAUACGGACCAGACUCCUACGGGAGGCAGCAGUGAGGAAUAUUGGACAAUGGUCGGAAGACUGAUCCAGCCAUGCCGCGUGCAGGAUGAAGGUCCUAUGGAUUGUAAACUGCUUUUGUAAGGGAAGAAUAAGGAGUACGUGUACUUUGAUGACGGUACCUUACGAAUAAGCAUCGGCUAACUCCGUG